UCCCCAGUAGCCUAGUGGUUAGGACUCCUGCUUAUACUGCAGGUGGCACGGGUUUGAUCCCUGGUUGGGGAU
This 72-nucleotide transfer RNA is filed under the name Ovis aries (sheep). It matches the Rfam family "tRNA". From Rfam's summary of the family: Transfer RNA (tRNA) molecules are approximately 80 nucleotides in length. Their secondary structure includes four short double-helical elements and three loops (D, anti-codon, and T loops). The record is from Rfam by way of RNAcentral. Lineage: Eukaryota; Metazoa; Chordata; Mammalia; Artiodactyla; Bovidae.